RNAcentral lists this ribosomal RNA (300 nucleotides) under uncultured bacterium. RNAcentral describes it as "bacterial SSU rRNA". It matches the Rfam family "Bacterial small subunit ribosomal RNA", at positions 336 to 651 of the family's 1533-position model. The record is from RNAcentral.
UUCCUACGGGGGGCAGCAGUCGGGAAUAUUGCACAAUGGAGGGAACUCUGAUGCAGUGACGCCGCGUGCAGGAAGAAGGUUUUCGGAUUGUAAACUGCUUUAGAUAGGGAAGAAGAAAAGACAGUACCUAUAGAAUAAGCUCCGGCUAACUACGUGCCAGCAGCCGCGGUAAUACGUAGGGAGCGAGCGUUAUCCGGAAUUAUUGGGUGUAAAGGGCGUGUAGGCGGGAAUGCAAGUCAGAUGUGAAAACUAUGGGCUCAACCCAUAGCCUGCAUUUGAAACUGUAUUUCUUGAGUGCUG